Molecule: ribosomal RNA, 253 nt
Filed under: uncultured bacterium
Lineage: Bacteria
Description: partial 16S ribosomal RNA
Rfam family: Bacterial small subunit ribosomal RNA
Source: RNAcentral
UACAGAGAGUGCAAGCGUUAUUCGGAUUCACUGGGCGUAAAGGGUGCGCAGGCGGCCAAGUGUGUUAGGCGUGAAAGCCCGGGGCUCAACCCCGGAAUUGCACCUAAAACUACAUGGCUAGAGCAUUGGAGAGGGUAGCGGAAUUCACGGUGUAGCAGUGAAAUGCGUAGAUAUCGUGAGGAACACCAGAGGCGAAGGCGGCUCGCUGGACAGUUGCUGACGCUCAGGCACGAAAGCGUGGGGAGCAAAAGGG